CCCCAGCCUAAUACUUGCAAGUCGAACGGGCAUAUUGAUUUCGGUUGAUAUGUUAGUGGCGCACGGGUGAGUAACGCGUACACAACCUGCCUUAUAUUGGGGGAUAGCCCUGGGAAACUGGGAGUAAUACCGCAUAAUAUUAUUGAGAGGCAUCUUUUGAUAAUUAAAGCUGAGGCGAUAUAAGAUGGGUGUGCGUCUGAUUAGGUAGUUGGUAGGGUAACGGCCUACCAAGCCGACGAUCAGUAGGGGGUGUGAGAGCAUGGCCCCCCACACGGGUACUGAGACACGGACCCGACUCCUACGGGAGGCAGCAGUAAGGAAUAUUGGUCAAUGGAGGGAACUCUGAACCAGCCAUUCCGCGUGAAGGAUGACGGCCCUCUGGGUUGUAAACUUCUUUAGUCUGGGAAGAAAAGUUUGCAUUUAUGCGAAUCUGACGGUACCAGAAGAAUAAGCACCGGCUAACUCCGUGCCAGCAGCCGCGGUAAUACGGAGGGUGCAAGCGUUAUCCGGAAUCACUGGGUUUAAAGGGUGCGUAGGCGGCAUUAUAAGUCAGGAGUGAAUU
Molecule: ribosomal RNA, 562 nt
Filed under: uncultured bacterium
Lineage: Bacteria
Description: bacterial SSU rRNA
Rfam family: Bacterial small subunit ribosomal RNA
Source: RNAcentral